This 119-nucleotide ribosomal RNA is filed under the name Triticum aestivum (bread wheat). Lineage: Eukaryota; Viridiplantae; Streptophyta; Magnoliopsida; Poales; Poaceae. The record is from RNAcentral.
GGAUGCGAUCAUACCAGCACUGAAGCACCGGAUCCCAUUAGAACUUCGAAGUUAAGCGUGCUUGGGCGAGAGUAGUACUAGGAUGGGUGACCUCUUGGGAAGUCCUCGUGUUGCAUUCC